Long non-coding RNA from Aquila chrysaetos chrysaetos, 546 nucleotides. RefSeq lists it as uncharacterized. NCBI's taxonomy places the organism in Eukaryota, Metazoa, Chordata, Aves, Accipitriformes, Accipitridae. The transcript has 2 exons. The record is from RefSeq and is a predicted model, not a curated record.
GAUCCGAGGUCAAACUAAUUUGGAAGGAUUGCAUCGCGCUACGUACAUACAAUGACUUUUGAUCCGCGACUGCUGCGCUUAGGUACCCUUUCCAGCCAAAAGGGCACAAAGGCCACGAAACGGUUUUGCGUGACCGACGUAAAAUACCAAGUGAUACGGUACUGGUCCUUUGCUCUACUGCGUGGGAGACGGUGGUGCUACUGUCCCUACGAGGGAUCUACUGGAUCAGCAGAAAGUGUCCUUUUGACUUCAGAGAAAAUUUGGCUGAUCCCGACCUGGUGGCUGUUCUCAGGAGAUGAUCCACUCCUCCAGCCACGAACAGAGGUUAAUGCACCGCAUACAGAUUUAAACGUGUUAAAAGGGCUUCGCUGAAAGGAGUAGAAACUUGUUUCAAGAAAAAAUACGGUCUCGAUUCAAAGUCCACUGAAGUCAAUGGUGCCUGACAUCCGAUCAGUGGAUUUUGGAUGGGGUCUGAAGCCACCUCCCCCUUGUCUGUUUUGGUACCACAUCUUUAAUCCUUUCUAUUAAAACCCAUUGUCAAGUCUU